GCAAAAAAAAAAAUCAGUAAUGGUGCUACUUUACUGGUUUCGUUUUACCUUUUCCGUAGCAUUGCAAAAUGCAAUAACCGAAGGCAAUCCACACAAAAACCCAGCCAGGCUCCCUAGGAAAGAUGGGAAGGGAUCCUAUGGAACUCAGUGGGAUUUACUUCUGUGUAAAAGAUGUAAGUUCGCAAGACAGCUGGUUGGAAGGAGCCGGUGGUGCUGACCAUGGAGGACGUUGAGGAGCCCUUGCUAGUGCAAAUGCCAAGGGGAGAGCCUAGUCUCAGAAAUAUGAAGCAGCAUCCCAUGUCGAAGG
Pogona vitticeps (central bearded dragon) is the source of this 307-nucleotide non-coding RNA. NCBI's taxonomy places the organism in Eukaryota, Metazoa, Chordata, Lepidosauria, Squamata, Agamidae. The record is from RefSeq and is a predicted model, not a curated record.